AACCUUCUGUUUUCUUACUCAGCUGUUCUAAACGCUGGUCUAAGUGGUUAUAAAAGGAGGAUGAAUCAAACUGAAGUUGACUUCAAUGGCCUUGCGGCACACCAUGUAGUUUUAAAUAUAU
RNAcentral lists this small nucleolar RNA (121 nucleotides) under Echinops telfairi (small Madagascar hedgehog). Its description in RNAcentral is "Small nucleolar RNA SNORA61 (ENSETEG00000026443.1)". The record is from RNAcentral. Lineage: Eukaryota; Metazoa; Chordata; Mammalia; Afrosoricida; Tenrecidae.